GCCUACGGGGCGCAGCAGUGAGGAAUAUUGGUCAAUGGUCGGGAGACUGAACCAGCCAAGCCGCGUGAGGGAUGAAGGUACAGAGUAUUGUAAACCUCUUUUGUCAGGGAACAAAGGCGGGGACGUGUCCCCGGAUGAGUGUACCUGAAGAAAAAGCAUCGGCUAACUCCGUGCCAGCAGCCGCGGUAAUACGGAGGAUGCGAGCGUUAUCCGGAUUUAUUGGGUUUAAAGGGUGCGCAGGCGGAGGCACAAGUCAGCGGUAAAAUCGCGGGUCUCAACCCCGCUCCGCCGUUGAAACUGUGUCC
Molecule: ribosomal RNA, 305 nt
Filed under: uncultured bacterium
Lineage: Bacteria
Description: bacterial SSU rRNA
Rfam family: Bacterial small subunit ribosomal RNA
Source: RNAcentral